AAAAAGACAAAUCGUGGUUUCCGUGUCUAACGUUUAACUGUUCGUCUUAUAUGAAAUUUUUUUUAUAAUUAAUAUUUCCAUUAUUGUUAGAUGAUAAAACAUGAUUAAUACUUUGACUUACCUUUUUAAUUUUUUUCAUAAUUUUUUCAAAUAAGACGGACGGUCAAAUUUAGACAUGGAAACCCAAGGUUUGUCCUAUG
Molecule: microRNA precursor, 200 nt
Organism: Oryza rufipogon (brownbeard rice)
Lineage: Eukaryota; Viridiplantae; Streptophyta; Magnoliopsida; Poales; Poaceae
Rfam family: MIR812 microRNA precursor family
Source: Rfam